AUUGAACGCUGGCGGCAGGCCUAACACAUGCAAGUCGAGCGGAUGAAGGGAGCUUGCUCCUGGAUUCAGCGGCGGACGGGUGAGUAAUGCCUAGGAAUCUGCCUGGUAGUGGGGGAUAACGUCCGGAAACGGGCGCUAAUACCGCAUACGUCCUGAGGGAGAAAGUGGGGGAUCUUCGGACCUCACGCUAUCUGAUGAGCCUAGGUCGGAUUAGCUAGUUGGUGGGGUAAAGGCCUACCAAGGCGACGAUCCGUAACUGGUCUGAGAGGAGGAUCAGUCACACUGGAACUGAGACACGGUCCAGACUCCUACGGGAGGCAGCAGUGGGGAAUAUUGGACAAUGGGCGAAAGCCUGAUACAGCCAUGCCGCGUGUGUGAAGAAGGUCUUCGGAUUGUAAAGCACUUUAAGUUGGGAGGAAGGGCAGUAAGUUAAUACCUUGCUGUUUUGACGUUACCAACAGAAUAAGCACCGGCUAACUUCGU
This 483-nucleotide ribosomal RNA is filed under the name uncultured bacterium. Its description in RNAcentral is "partial 16S ribosomal RNA". It matches the Rfam family "Bacterial small subunit ribosomal RNA", at positions 30 to 506 of the family's 1533-position model. The record is from RNAcentral.